AGGAGGCGUGGCCGCUGGUGCUUGCUUGCCCUUCCGGGCCCGCGGGCGCGUCCCGACUUAAGAGUCUUGCAGUCCCUGUGUAGGGAAGUACCGAGAAACAGCAAGGAAGGGAAGGCACAUGCUCCGUAUAGGGUGGGUUAUUUUUCUGCUCUCUCCUGAUAAGGAGGCCUUGAAAGGAUCUCCUGGGCUGUUUUUCAGGGAAGGAAGGUGGAAGGAAGGUGGAAGGAAGGGGGGCUGGGUCCCCCCCAAACGUGAGUGUGCAGCCAGCACCUCCCUAGAGAUGUCUCCUCCUGCUGUCAACCCAAAGUGCCAUAUGCGCGGCGCUCCCCGAGAUUCUGGCAUCCUGUCUCGGAAGGAGAUUCACAGGAGACCGGUAAAGUCCGGUUCCAGCCCAGACAAGGUGCCGAGCUCCUUGGGUCGAAGAUAGUUCCAGUGACAUCUAAGGAGCAGAUUCUCAUGUCCAGAUCAUGAUGUAAAGGCUUCCUGCUUUCUGCACGGCAAGAUCUUGAGAGUCUAUGGAGUACAAGGUACACAGUAAGCACUCAGCAAAUACCUGAUGGAUUAAGUCCUUUAUGCAAAGUGAGGCCUGCUCCCACUGAGAACUACUUCCAUCCAUCUUAUUAUCUUGAGCUUUUCAUUGAGGAGUUUUGAAGCUGGUAAAAUGAGGAGAUGUAAACUAAAAAGGCAACAAACAUGGAGAUUAUAGACUAACUUUAGGAGGAUCUCAAAAUUCACUAACAAUGGAAUUGGGAAGACUAAGAUGUUAAAAGGAAACGAAGAUAAGGGAAGGAGGAAGGAGAUACGGAAGGUGGAAGGAAAAAGAGGGAAAGAAGAAAGGGAGGGAGGAAAGAAGAUGGAAAAAAGGAAAAGAGGAAAAAAAUUCAAAUGAAAUUAUUGUAUUUUUAUUCCAGUAAGUGGCUGGGAAUAGUAAGGAGAACAUAGAGAACUGGAAAAGGGAAGGAAAAAUAACUCAGCACAAUGAAAGAGUAAAAACAAUGACAGAGUGUUGGACAUGAGCCAGACGAAGUACAGACGUUGCAACGUUCUGGAAUAUGGAAUCGGCGGGGGCGGGCGAUUGCAGUGACAGCAUCUCUUAGGAGAGUUUCAAAUACUUGUAUGAGGCCAGGACAAAUGACCAAAUAAUGGACUGUAACGGCAUCUCCCCUCCCUCCCAUGGGAGGGAAAACCUGGAAACGUGCAGCAGCUUCAUCCCUCACUUGUCUAGACGAAACGGUUUCAACGUCAGAAUCCAUCACCAUAUUCCAAAAGUAAAAGAUAAGGAAGACUGUAUCCUAAAAUCUUUUACAACAUGUUUCAAACUUAGAAUUAUUUAUAGCUACUGAGUCUUAUCCUUGCUAAGGCCAUCCAUAAUUUCUUUGUUGCAAAAUAUAACAAAAAUUUCCUCUGCAAGGUUAGAGGAAUUUUAUCCUCCCUGUCUGGUAUUCCAGUUUCAUUCAUUCUUGGACUCCUUUUCCCCUGCUCAGCUCUUAGGGGUUAGAGCUCCCUGGGUGAUCUCACACAUUUUCC
This is a long non-coding RNA of Hippopotamus amphibius kiboko, 1527 nucleotides long. RefSeq lists it as uncharacterized. The record is from RefSeq and is a predicted model, not a curated record. Lineage: Eukaryota; Metazoa; Chordata; Mammalia; Artiodactyla; Hippopotamidae. The transcript is spliced from 3 exons.